This 865-nucleotide ribosomal RNA is filed under the name Enterococcus gallinarum. RNAcentral describes it as "bacterial SSU rRNA". It matches the Rfam family "Bacterial small subunit ribosomal RNA", at positions 68 to 912 of the family's 1533-position model. Lineage: Bacteria; Bacillati; Bacillota; Bacilli; Lactobacillales; Enterococcaceae. The record is from RNAcentral.
UUUCACCGGAGCUUGCUCCACCGAAAGAAAAAGAGUGGCGAACGGGUGAGUAACACGUGGGUAACCUGCCCAUCAGAAGGGGAUAACACUUGGAAACAGGUGCUAAUACCGUAUAACACUAUUUUCCGCAUGGAAGAAAGUUGAAAGGCGCUUUUGCGUCACUGAUGGAUGGACCCGCGGUGCAUUAGCUAGUUGGUGAGGUAACGGCUCACCAAGGCAACGAUGCAUAGCCGACCUGAGAGGGUGAUCGGCCACACUGGGACUGAGACACGGCCCAGACUCCUACGGGAGGCAGCAGUAGGGAAUCUUCGGCAAUGGACGAAAGUCUGACCGAGCAACGCCGCGUGAGUGAAGAAGGUUUUCGGAUCGUAAAACUCUGUUGUUAGAGAAGAACAAGGAUGAGAGUAAAAUGUUCAUCCCUUGACGGUAUCUAACCAGAAAGCCACGGCUAACUACGUGCCAGCAGCCGCGGUAAUACGUAGGUGGCAAGCGUUGUCCGGAUUUAUUGGGCGUAAAGCGAGCGCAGGCGGUUUCUUAAGUCUGAUGUGAAAGCCCCCGGCUCAACCGGGGAGGGUCAUUGGAAACUGGGAGACUUGAGUGCAGAAGAGGAGAGUGGAAUUCCAUGUGUAGCGGUGAAAUGCGUAGAUAUAUGGAGGAACACCAGUGGCGAAGGCGGCUCUCUGGUCUGUAACUGACGCUGAGGCUCGAAAGCGUGGGGAGCGAACAGGAUUAGAUACCCUGGUAGUCCACGCCGUAAACGAUGAGUGCUAAGUGUUGGAGGGUUUCCGCCCUUCAGUGCUGCAGCAAACGCAUUAAGCACUCCGCCUGGGGAGUACGACCGCAAGGUUGAAACUCAAAGGAAUUG